AGGUGGUAAAUCCUGGCCAAGGCUCCUCGAGCCAGGCCGGCUGGCAGUGCUGCAUCGUGCUGAAGGCGCUGAGGUUGCAGCGGAUGCAUUCCGGGCCAGUGAUAUGAUGUGGACAGGAAAAGUCUUUUGUUCUGGGAAAAUGGAGGACUGAAACCUCUUCAUGUCUUUUUCCCAGGCCCUGAUUUAGGAAGACCAAAACAGGGACUUCUACAGUAGCAGCUUAAUCAGCAGAUGCUGGGUGGUCGCCUCUGCACAUGGCCUGGGGGGCGGGGCGCCUUACCGCGUCACACUGGGUGGAUGGGCCUGUGUGUGGCCUCUCUCCAGCUGUGGCUGACAGUACUCACUCAGCCCAGGCUUCCAGGCCCUCCUGGGCCCUCCUAUCCACUGAAGGAAAUGGGAGAUGAGUGGGUAAUGGAAAAGCCUUUGGAGUCAGAUGUAAAUCCAUGACUUGACCACUUAUUGCUGUGAGACCCUGGACAGCUGGAUAUAGAGUUCUUGUUCUAGCAUCCGCCCUGGGAAUCCCCGGAACUGGGCCUCUUACCGACACCAUUGCCUGUAAUCCACAAACCUAGGAGUUACUCCAGUUACUGUCCUACUGAAGGACCCCCAUCCCAUCUGGGCUACUAUAACCACAUGGACCAUCCCUUGCUUCAAUCAUAGAAUUCUUUCUUCAGAUCAAAGUAUAUUCAGACACUCGAUACAGUAACAAAAGCAAGCUAUCCUGGAAGGAAGAAGGAAUCAGGAGGCAGAGCACAUGGUUAAAGCAUGAGAUGUGAAACCAGGAAGAACCAGGUCUGAACCUUAGCUCCACCAGUGGUAGCUUCAAACCUUGGUCCUUUCUGAGCCUGCUUCUUCAACCGUAAGAUAAGCGACCAGAAAACAGUCCUCUCUGAAUCAGACAAACUUCAAGAGCUACAAGGGUUAUUAACACAUGAAGUAAAGAGUCAAACAGUAAUCUGCAGCUCAUCCCCUAUUCUCUUCUUGCAAUCGGGAUGCUGCCUGACUACCAACACACCUGCACAAAGCCCUCUGCAGCACCUGCCACUGGCCCAUGCUUUUGUCAUUGCCACCUCCAGCUCAGCCUCAUUCCCCUCCAGGCUCUGCUCCAACGCACAGGACCACAGGAACUCGGAAACGGGACCCAGAAAGUUGUUUUCUCAAGUGGAUGGAACAACACAAGCAAUCACUGCAGUUUACUGACAAGAUCAAAGAUGGUAGUAUAUCUCUGGUUUAUAGAAGAAAUUUACAUUUCUCUAAAAGCUUUUGAUAAACUUAACAAUUCAAAAGAAA
RNAcentral lists this long non-coding RNA (1290 nucleotides) under Homo sapiens (human). RNAcentral describes it as "PREDICTED lncRNA (TCONS_00151089)". Lineage: Eukaryota; Metazoa; Chordata; Mammalia; Primates; Hominidae. The record is from RNAcentral.